CACUGCAGUGUUAUCUCUGCCUUUUCCCCUUCUGUCUCAGCAAAGGGAAGAGGGAGCCUUUACAAACUCUGUGGGGGAGGAAGACACCCGUUUCCCACUUCUGGCCGGGGAAGAGGCCAUCUAUCCCGACGUUAACUCUGAAAUCUCUCACGCUCGGAGCGGAAUGCCACCACCCCGCUACAGCCCUCUUGGUGUAGGCAUUGAAUGUCAUUGCUGCCUUUUAGGCUGUGAUGGCCUGAUUCUGAAACACCACGAGAGGAUCUGGUCUCUUGGUGUCCAGUCGUCUUUCGGAGAAGGAGGCAAUCCAGUUCCUUCUCUUGCCCCCUUGACCUGCUCCUCCUUGAGGGUGUAGAAGUAGAUCCCUUCAUCUGUAUGUCUGCCCUUUGCUAGAGGGUUUGAAGUUUCUCAGUCCCUGUGCCCUCUCCCUACUUGCAUUUAUCCCUACGUUUUUCAUUAGAAAAUGGCAAAAAGGGCAAAAACAAAUGUGUGUCCUUUCGCUCAUCACAUAGUGAACCUUCCACUUCUAAAGCCAUGUAACCUCAGGUUUGGUAGGCAAGGGCGAGCCGGACACUGAUAUUGAUGGCUAGGUGAAUCCUGAGGGACAACAGAUAGGAGGGUGGAAGAAGGGGGGCGGGGAGAGAGGAGAAAGGGAGGGGUGUGUUCAGUGACUGGCUCCCAGCCACCUUUUUCUUUUUAACAUGAGGAAGGCGGGGCAGACCAGAGGCUUCUCUGUAGAACCAGUCAAGCUGGUUUUGAGCAGCCUCGGCCUAUUUUCCCCUGUGUUCUUUGGGAAGUUGGCCAUACAAAGGUCUGCCUCCUCUGGGGCUCUGCUCAUUGAGGUGUGAGUCUGGAUGAGGUCUGUAAACACCCCCAUUCUCCCUCAUUACUGAACGGGCCUCUGAGCACGAGUGGGCUUUCUCUACACCCAGUGCUGUUCAAGGCAACUUUGUCCUCCGCACCUGUCACUGGAAACUCUAAGAUACAACUCCUUUCCUUGGACCCCCUUUGCAAGUCACAGCUUGGCCAAAGGCCCUCCAGCCUGGCCAGGGAAAAGCGAUUGGGUUUGUGGUUUAUGGAUCGGGAACUGACUCCUGGCUCUUGUGAUCUGGCUGCUAAAUCCACUGAGGCCCCAGUCCUUUUGGCUUGAUGCAGUGGGACUGUCUGUCCAGGCCUGCUGGGGAAGAAAAAAGGAGAGAGAAUAUAGUUUUUGGUCUUUGGCAGCUCAGGAGGUUAACAGUUUAAGUGUGUUCCUGAUCAGGUACCCGUAGGAAAGGUGGGAGUCAUCAGUCACCACGUGCUGGCACUUCCUGAACAGCAGCAGGAAGCCUUUCUCAGGGGAAAGACAUAGGAUUCUGAGGCUCCUCUGACCAUCAGAGCUACUAAUACAGCAGGAUUGUUUUCCCAGUCCCCCAGUAAACGGAAAACUCCCAUGUCCGAAAGUUUGGUGAUUAAUGAGUGAAACCACCUGCAAACAUAGUUCCAGCCCUUGCCCUUGCCCUUGCCCUUGCCCUUGGGGGGCAGGUUGCUUCUGUCACUGCUACGAUGAUCUACUCAUUGCUUCUCUUGAGCACCAUUUCACUGAGGGUUUUGGUUACUGAUACUCUGUGUAAAGGGGGGCUCCUUUUCCUGCACCUUCUUUAGACCCAAGGAUCUGCUGGCCCUCCCUUACCCCCUAUCACUCCCCCCCACCCCCCACCCCUGCCAGAUGGCCAUCAUCGGAGUGUCUUUGCAUGUGGUGUUGGAUGUGCUUGUGACUUGUUGCUUCGUUUGGGCCCACAAGUGUUUGAAUGACUGGUUCUGUAGUCACAGGAAGUGGGGCCCCAUAGGCCUGCUUGGUCUAGCAAUAGCAUUCUAAUUGAGUUGAGCUUAUGGUGGAGUGGAAAGGAGAUCCCAGCACUUGGGGACUUCUAAUAAGUGGUAUGUUCUGGUUAAAGCAGGCUCUGCAGCUUGAUUCCCCUGUGCUGGAAUCUUGGUCAGCCUCUACUGUGACCCUGGGCUUACCUAAUUGUUCCAGGCCUGUUAGCUCACCUGUAAAAAAAGGAGUAAUGAUAGUCCCUAUCUUGUAGGUAUAGUUGUUGUGAGCAUCAGAGAAGUUAACGAUUAUAAAACACUUUAAAACAACACCUGGCAGGACGUAACAAUCCUCAUGAUCACCGUUCUUAGUUGAGCGACUUGGUGGGUUUUCUCUGAACACCAUACAACUCCAGGUCAGUAUGCGUUGGAAAUUCUCUGUAAUUGAUUGAAAGAAUCUUGGUUUCUUUUAGUCGUUAGGGUCCCUCAGAUGCUUUUUCCAGCAUUAAAAAAAAAUUUGUGGUUGUUGAUUUUACUUUAUUUGUUGAAGCUAGCCAGCUAUCUGAAUAGAAUGCUUUUGGAAAGGUUUAUGUGCUAUUGAGAUCAUUUUAAAAAAUGGGGGUGCAUUUAUUUACAAGAUAUCAAUAUCAGGUGAUUUUAUUGAUUAACAGAACGAAACAACCCAAAACACUACCUUCUGCCUGCCCAUACUUCUGUGUCGUGAAUGGUAAUGGUGGUGGUGGUGUUGUGUGUGCAGCCUCAUCAAGGGAGGAUCCAGAUCCAAAGUCAGCAGACCAUGGGUUUUUUUCUGAGUGCUGGGAUCCAGCCGAUCGCAUGGGAUUUUUUUCCAUGUUCCUUUCUUCAGGUGCAGUAUUUACCCUUUGGCAACAGGAGAGAGAAAGCUCCCUGUUUCUCUUAAAGACCACAUGGGAACUUAGCAGCUAAUGAUUUUAGGUUCCUUUUUCACUAGCAAAGAGGCCUUCAGGGGCAAGCCCUUGUUAUCUCUGUUGGCUUCUCUGCAGUGAGAAGAAAGCCUCCCCAUUGUGAGUCCUGGAAGGGUCACAGUCAUUUCUCGGCUGCCCCUGUGAGUUUGUGGACUUUGAAUCUUGGGCUGAGAUUUUGGUCUCGGUUGGUUCCUUGUUUAUCUUUGUCUCUCUUGCGGCUCCUAGAGCCUGAGCGCCUGGUCAGAACAGCAAGUAACUUGCUUAGUUUUUUCACACUGCAACUGCAGCCCAGGAGAAAGGUAACAGUGUCGCCUCAGCUCAUCAGGGAAUGUUUCUUUGACUGUGUUUUCCUCUUUCUUUUGACCUCUCUGCUGACUUAUCUCACUUCCUUUUUUUUUUUUUUUUCUGUUUGGUUUCUUUGAACUCUGUUCCUUCAUUACCGCUGUCCAUCUCGGGUUUUCAUCUCUGUCCCCCUCUGCCUUACCUGUUUCUAUGCCUCUUUUGUGGCAUGGCUCAGGAGAGGAAUUCUGAUAGUCUGAGAUCUCCUUCGUGUAUAGAAUCCCAGUACCACCCAGUCCUUUCUCCUGUUCCUCUGAUUUCUGUAAAGUUAGGGAUUUGCAGCUUUAGCACACAUUUUCUUUUUAUGUCUCUGGAGCCACCUUCCUUAGUAAAGCCAGGCCUGGCGAUCUGACAGCUUAUUAGGGUCGGCAUCCUAGUUUCCCUGGUGAUAGGGUCUGAGCCAGUUCUGGGCCGUUUCCUCUGGCCUAUCCGGAAUGCUGUAACGCUGGACCCUGUCUUGGGAGGGAUCUGAGGUGGCACUUGUGAAUUUUGGCAAUGCGAUAUUGAAUGUGGUCCCCAAAGUGUGGUUUGAGGACCCUGGGGCUCCCUGAGGUCCAUUCAGUGGUACACGAAAUCAAAGUGAGUUUCAUCAGAACAUGAACGCAGCAUCUGCUUUUUACCAUUCUGGCUCUGUCCGUACACAGUGGAGUUUUCCAGAGGCUGAAUGAUGUGUGCUGACAUCAUCACUCUUGGCUAAUGAAAUGUGUGCUUUUGUAUUCUUGUGUUUUCUAGAAUUUUUAAGGUAGUCCUUUAAGGUAUAAAUAGAGAUGUUUUCAGUGAUGCGCUCAGUUUGUUUUCAGUACUUCUCCGGGACUCUUACUAUCUUUCUUCAGUUGUGCCUGCUCUAAGUCCUGUAAACCUCGUUAUUGUCCUGGAAAUCAUUAGUUUGAUAUCCCACCAAUUUCCUGGCAUCUUUGAGGAAACACAAUAAGAUGGAUUGUUGACUUUAAAAAGGGAGAUUAGAAGACUUGCAACCUCUGUUUACUGAAAUGGACAUGUCAACAAGUGAAUGGGAGGAGUCUGAAGAGUCUAGGCAAAACCGUAAAUAAGAAAUUAGAAGAGAUGACACUGUAACGAGAGCUAUCUUCUCCUCAGCUUUAUAGAUGUUAAUAACGCACUUUAUUACGUCUUACGCAACUGAACACAGUUCAGGUAGUGCUGUAGUGCCAGUUCAGGUGCAUCAUCAUGUCAAGACCGAUCAUUCAAAGUUGAAAGAAAAAGGAAUCGAGAACUUUUGGUGUGUAUACACCAUGAGCUCUUUAAAAGCCAAAAUUUGCUCCAGCUUUUCAACCUAGAAGUGAAAAAAAAGUCACUGACUCUUACAGGACAAGUUCGGACGUUCUUUGGCUGGAAAAGCCCACCCAGUAGCCGAGAGACUAAGAAGGUCUUGAACGGCAGACGUUGCCGAACGCCCGCUGGGUGGAGAGUCCGUGAGAUGCAGGGCAGUGCCGCUUUGUGUGUACCACGACUCGUCGAAUCAAAGGUUUAGGUACGAAUGUGAAGACUGAGUUCACAUCUUGUUUACAGAAUUGUACUUUUGCCUUACAAACGAGAUUUACAGACGUGGCUCAACUUGUGUCAGCACCAACUACGCUUCAGAGAAUUUUCCUUUACGUGAACGCUCAGCAGUGAACGCGAGUAGCGAUAAAUAUGCAACGGGUUGAAUAACUCUCUUGACUUUCAUGGUUCAUCCUGGAAGAACUUCGUUUCCGUUUGCACUGUUGCACAGAAGUAAUGGCAGAGAAAAUCGCUGGCGGCGUAACGUAAAUCAAGGCAGUGGCACCAAACUCUGCUAGCGAUCGUAGUCGUGAACUUCUCUCCUGCUAGACACUUGUGGUUUAAGGAGGGGAGGGGCAUUUUCACUUGAGUGUGCCCUAAAAAUUAUUAAUUUUUAUUGAGUCUCAACCCUCUAAUAAAAGCCUCUUUAAUAUUUUGAGUGAUGAAACGCCAAGUAUCUAUGGGGCACUGGUGCCGUCUCCCAUCGUACAGUGACGGUCUUGAGAAAACGUGCUAGUGUGUUGGAGCUGAACCAGUUGCAUGGAUCAUCAUCUCAACUUGAGAGAUCAACUACAGUUAUUCACACUUGAGUAUUUAGUGGACAUUUUCUUGAAAGUGAGCGAAGUGAGUCUGUCACCGUUGCCAAGGAUAAAAGUCAAGCUUUCAAGCAAAAAUGAGAAUUUUCAAAAACUUGGAUUUGUCGAAGACGUUUUUGACGAGAUCAGUGGUAAAAUUAGUGGAAUGUGAUCUUUUGAUAUUGUAUGAAAUGUCAAUAUUUGGAAAUUCUGUAUAAUUCAGUGAAGGCAUAUUUCCCAGAUUGCCAGUAGGUAAAAGAGCCAUUCAAAGUGCAAGAUGACCAGUGUAUUUUAACAUAAAAAGUACACAGCAGAUUCAUUGAUAGGAGCGCUAGGGGGCUCAGUCGGUUGGGUGUCUGACCCUUGAUUUCGGCUCAGGUCAUGAUGUCACGGUUCGUGAGAUUGAGCCCCAUGUUGGGCUCUGCGCUGAGAGCGUGGAGCCUGCUUGGGAUUCUCUCUCUCUCUCUCUCUCUCUCUCUCUCUCUCUCUCUCUCUGCUCCUCCCCCCAGCCCCAGAAUAAAUAAGUAAACUUAAAAAGAAAAGAUUCAUUGAUAAAAUUGCAGAUUGCAACUAGCUUUUAAAAACUACUACUUUUGAGUUUGGGUCUGGUGUCAAAGAAGAAAAUUCUGAAAAGCUAUUAAACUCCAUUUUCCAGCCACAGGUCUAUAUAAAGUGAGAUUUUUCUUCAUAUCUUACAACUGGAGCAGCAGAUUGAAACACAUCGGAUGCGGAAGCAGAUAUAAGAAGUUGGUGCUCUUUCAUUAAGCUAGACAUUAAAGAGAUGUACAACAGUGUAAAACAGUGCAGCUUUUGCCAUGAAUUUAAUUUUGUUUUUGAAAGUACGGGUUUGUUUUUUUUUUUUUUUUUGUAAAAAAAAUAGGUUGUUUGUAUAAACACGUAACGGGUUUAUUGUUUUGAAUGAAUUAAUAAAAAUAUUUUUUAAAUCACCA
Long non-coding RNA from Felis catus (domestic cat), 6096 nucleotides. RefSeq lists it as uncharacterized. The record is from RefSeq and is a predicted model, not a curated record. The transcript has 2 exons. Lineage: Eukaryota; Metazoa; Chordata; Mammalia; Carnivora; Felidae.